This 432-nucleotide ribosomal RNA is filed under the name uncultured bacterium. RNAcentral describes it as "partial 16S ribosomal RNA". It matches the Rfam family "Bacterial small subunit ribosomal RNA", at positions 29 to 507 of the family's 1533-position model. The record is from RNAcentral.
AACGAACGCUGGCGGCAUGCCUACACAUGCAAGUCGAACGAGACCUUCGGGUCUAGUGGCGCACGGGUGCGUAACGCGUGGGAACCUGCCCUUAGGUUCGGAAUAACUCCCCGAAAGGGGUGCUAAUACCGGAUAAUGUCUUCGGACCAAAGAUUUAUCGCCUUUGGAUGGGCCCGCGUUGGAUUAGCUAGUUGGUAGGGUAAAAGCCUACCAAGGCGACGAUCCAUAGCUGGUCUGAGAGGAUGAUCAGCCACACUGGGACCGAGACACGGCCCAGACUCCUACGGGAGGCAGCAGUGGGGAAUAUUGGACAAUGGGCGAAAGCCUGAUCCAGCAAUGCCGCGUGAGUGAUGAAGGCCUUAGGGUUGUAAAGCUCUUUUACCCGGGAUGAUAAUGACAGUACCGGGAGAAUAAGCUCCGGCUAACUCCGUG